CUUCCUGUUCAUGAAAGAUUCAUGCCCAUGGUCAACAUUGAAAUUUUCAGAUUAUACACUAAUUAGAGGAUCUGGUCUCUAGUUUAGACAAGAAGAUGAUAGCCAUUAAAACCUAGCUUGUUAACAGUAGUUUAACGUCAUAUUAUGCUUGCCAUUUGCUAAGUAAGAAAUAUACAAGAAAGGUAAAUUGCUGAGUUGUAUUAGGAAGGGGAAAAUGCAUUGUUCAAGAAGUGUUUGCUUGUUGGUCCUGACGCCUUUGUCAUCAAUACUUGUUAGAAUGAGCGACACAAACAUGACAAAUAAUAAAAUCACAUCUACGGACUACAAUAUGCUCAGUCUAGAGAUAUCUCAGUGGUUGUGAUUCAUGAUGAGGCCUCAGUACAAUGGAAUAAGGGCAUCUUGGCAUACACUGAGAAGGAAGAUGUUCCCAUAACAAGCUUUGUAAUGUGAUGUUGAUCAAUAAGCUCAACAAUGCCAUUUGCAACACUGUUCUUCUCAAUCACCAAUUUUUCAGCUUGCACCUGCAAAUUUGGUGAUUUUGCUGAGAUGACAUAGAAUGGGAAGCAACUUCUGAUUAGCAUAAAGGAUAUAAAAUAUUGCAUAGAUUUCUGUAAUUUGAUGUUCUUAUUCAAUCCACUUCAUCAGAACAAUUAGUCAUAAAGCUUAAUUUGUCUAGGCCUGGUACAAAAUGUGGUUAAAAUAUUGAUUGUUAUCUUUCCAUAAAUUGAUCCUCAAGCUGACCAUAGUUCACUUUGUUGAAAAAUAAAAUUCCCAUUUCAUAUGACUUGAGUGAGAGUGCUUAUCUGACCUUUGGAAAUGCUCUGCAGUAACUCAGGUACUGUUCUAAAAGUUUAUUCAUAUCGUCCUUCUCAAUCUUUCUGUAUGCUCUGAGCUCCUUUUCUUCUAGCUGUUUUGCAGGAACCUUACACAAGCCUGCAAGGAUGGCAUCAUCGCAGGAAACCAUGAGCACCGGCGUGGACUUCUUUUUUUUUUUUGGCAGAGCAACAUGUAACACUAAAACAAGUUCAUUGUUUGUAUGAUAGCUGCGGUACAGUCUCUUGAGAAGCAGGGCAUAUGGAAAAGAAAAAAUGUGUGUGCUGCUGCUUUCCCAAUUGAACAGACCAAAGGUGUCUUUCCCAGAAGUUGCAGAGAAAAACAACAAUUUGUGGAAAUGGAAAUACAACCGUUGUUGCCUGCUACGUGGCUGGUGGACAUGCAGCAGCACAAGAAGCUUGUUGACAUCACCCUGCUGAGGCUGGAGUUUCCUAGCUGCCCACUGGAUGUUGGCCUUGCCGUCCUUGAGGUCCUUGCCGACCGACACGUACUACCGGCUGAGGAGACAAGGGCGGCAAUGGUGACGACGACGACGACGGCAACGAAGAACGAGCACUUGCCACGGCCAUGCAGCGCAAACAACUUAAAUUAACUGCCCUGCCACCACACAACCGACAGAAUAAGAAGCAAACAACUGGGAGUAGCUAGCUAGGCAGGAGAAAGAACAAGUACCUACUAUAUCUUUGCUUGCUUUAUUAUAGUUUCUGCUGCUGCUGCUGCUGGAGGCGACGGCAACAACAAAGCAAACAAAAGGAUCGAAUCUCUCACAAAGGGGACUUUUGGCUUCGCUUGUAUGUCGUCUGGCAACUUUUAUAAACUCAUCUGCUUCAGUUAUUCGACAAAAGAAAGAAAAAUCUCUGUUAAAUCUA
This is a long non-coding RNA of Oryza sativa Japonica Group (Japanese rice), 1703 nucleotides long. RefSeq lists it as uncharacterized. The record is from RefSeq and is a predicted model, not a curated record. Lineage: Eukaryota; Viridiplantae; Streptophyta; Magnoliopsida; Poales; Poaceae.